CCUACGGGGUGCAGCAGUGAGGAAUAUUGGUCAAUGGGCUUACGCCUGAACCAGCCAAGUCGCGUGAGGGAAGACUGCCCUAUGGGUUGUAAACCUCUUUUGUCAGGGAGCAACGCCGGCUACGUGUAGCCGGACUGAGAGUACCUGAAGAAAAAGCAUCGGCUAACUCCGUGCCAGCAGCCGCGGUAAUACGGGGGAUGCGAGUGUUAUCCGGAUUUAUUGGGUUUAAAGGGUGCGUAGGCGGAAUGCCAAGUCAGCGGUAAAAUCGCGGGGCUCAACCUCGCUCCGCCGUUGAAACUGGCGUUCUGGAGUGGGCGAGAAGUAUGCGGAAUGCGUGGUGUAGCGGUGAAAUGCAUAGCUAUCACGCAGAACUCCGAUUGCGAAGGCAGCAUACCGGCGCCCAACUGACGCUGAAGCACGAAAGCGUGGGUAUCGAACAGGAUUAGAUACCCGGGUAGUC
RNAcentral lists this ribosomal RNA (460 nucleotides) under uncultured bacterium. Its description in RNAcentral is "partial 16S ribosomal RNA". It matches the Rfam family "Bacterial small subunit ribosomal RNA", at positions 338 to 795 of the family's 1533-position model. The record is from RNAcentral.